CUACGGAGGGGGUUAGCGUUGUUCGGAAUUACUGGGCGUAAAGCGUACGUAGGCGGAUUAGUAAGUUAGGGGUGAAAUCCCGAGGCUCAACCUCGGAACUGCCUCUAAAACUGCUAGUCUUGAGUUCGAGAGAGGUGAGUGGAAUUCCUAGUGUAGAGGUGAAAUUCGUAGAUAUUAGGAGGAACACCAGUGGCGAAGGCGGCUCACUGGCUCGAUACUGACGCUGAGGUACGAAAGUGUGGGGAGCAAACAGGAUUAGAAACCCUAGUAGUCC
Molecule: ribosomal RNA, 274 nt
Filed under: uncultured bacterium
Lineage: Bacteria
Description: partial 16S ribosomal RNA
Rfam family: Bacterial small subunit ribosomal RNA
Source: RNAcentral